AUGUCGUGAUGAGGACACUUCCAAAUUAUGUUCUUGAAUCUGUUCCAAGCCUCAUCAAGGAAUUCAAUUUCUCCCUGAUAGAAUAUAGAUAUGUCAUGCUUCAACUU
RNAcentral lists this small nucleolar RNA (107 nucleotides) under Olea europaea subsp. europaea. Its description in RNAcentral is "Plant small nucleolar RNA R71". It matches the Rfam family "Plant small nucleolar RNA R71". From Rfam's summary of the family: R71 is a member of the C/D box family of snoRNAs containing the C (UGAUGA) and D (CUGA) box motifs. Multiple nearly identical copies of this snoRNA have been identified in Arabidopsis, and it is thought to function as a 2'-O-ribose methylation guide for 18S ribosomal RNA. Lineage: Eukaryota; Viridiplantae; Streptophyta; Magnoliopsida; Lamiales; Oleaceae. The record is from Rfam by way of RNAcentral.